AAUAGAUACCCUGGUAGUCCACGCCGUAAACGAUGAGUGCUAAGUGUUGGGGGGUUUCCGCCCCUCAGUGCUGCAGCUAACGCAUUAAGCACUCCGCCUGGGGAGUACGGUCGCAAGACUGAAACUCAAAGGAAUUGACGGGGGCCCGCACAAGCGGUGGAGCAUGUGGUUUAAUUCGAAGCAACGCGAAGAACCUUACCAGGUCUUGACAUCCCGGUGACCACUAUGGAGACAUACGUUUCCCCGUUCGGGGGCAACGGUGACAGGUGGUGCAUGGUUGUCGUCAGCUCGUGUCGUGAGAUGUUGGGUUAAGUCCCGCAACGAGCGCAACCCUUAUUCUUAGUUGCCAUCAUUCAGUUGGGCACUCUAAGGAGACUGCCGGUGAUAAACCGGAGGAAGGUGGGGAUGACGUCAAAUCAUCAUGCCCCUUAUGACCUGGGCUACACACGUGCUACAAUGGACGGUACAAACGGUUGCCAACCCGCGAGGGGGAGCUAAUCCGAUAAAACCGUUCUCAGUUCGGAUUGUAGGCUGCAACUCGCCUC
RNAcentral lists this ribosomal RNA (545 nucleotides) under uncultured bacterium. Its description in RNAcentral is "bacterial SSU rRNA". It matches the Rfam family "Bacterial small subunit ribosomal RNA", at positions 777 to 1318 of the family's 1533-position model. The record is from RNAcentral.